AGUGAACGCUGGCGGUAGGCCUAACACAUGCAAGUCGAACGGCAGCACAGUAAGAGCUUGCUCUUACGGGUGGCGAGUGGCGGACGGGUGAGGAAUACAUCGGAAUCUACUUUUUCGUGGGGGAUAACGUAGGGAAACUUACGCUAAUACCGCAUACGACCUACGGGUGAAAGCAGUGGAUCUUCGGACCUUGCGCGAUUGAAUGAGCCGAUGUCGGAUUAGCUAGUUGGCGUGGUAAAGGCCCACCAAGGCGACGAUCCGUAGCUGGUCUGAGAGGAUGAUCAGCCACACUGGAACUGAGACACGGUCCAGACUCCUACGGGAGGCAGCAGUGGGGAAUAUUGGACAAUGGGCGCAAGCCUGAUCCAGCCAUACCGCGUGAGUGAAGAAGGCCUUCGGGUUGUAAAGCCCUUUUGUUGGGAAAGAAAAGCAGCAGGUUAAUACCCCGCUGUUCUGACGGUACCCAAAGAAUAAGCACCGGCUAACUUCGUG
This 492-nucleotide ribosomal RNA is filed under the name uncultured bacterium. RNAcentral's name for it is "partial 16S ribosomal RNA". It matches the Rfam family "Bacterial small subunit ribosomal RNA", at positions 29 to 507 of the family's 1533-position model. The record is from RNAcentral.